AAAGAAACAGCAUUAACACAGUUAUGCUUUUCAAAGAAAGAUUACCAUUAUUGUGAAGCACUACUAAUUCUUUCAACACUUUUAGCUCAAAUUGAAGUAAAUUUCACAUCCGAAAAGCAUAGGAGCACUUCAAAAUGGAAACUAGAGAGUGAAAAACGAGCUUCACUUACUUGCGAUCGCAAAGUACAAGAGAACCACCAUCGAAACAUAUGAAGCAAACAUCUUCGUCCUCUUCUCGCGGUUUCUUUGGCGGCGGAAGUUUUGCCAGAGUCGUCUGGAAACGAGGCGGCCGCCCUCGCUUCCGUUUCUCGACGCCGUCGCCGAUCAGGUUUGCAACUGAAGUCGCCGGCGGAGGUUUUGCCACCGUCGUGUGGAAACGAGGCGGCCGCCCUCGCUUCCGCUUCUCGACGCCGUCGCCGAUCACGUCUGCAACUGAAGUCCUGCCAUCUACAGCUACCGUAAUCGGAGCACCUCCGGUGA
RNAcentral lists this long non-coding RNA (480 nucleotides) under Nicotiana benthamiana. RNAcentral describes it as "long non-coding RNA (NBEN_LNC008476)". Lineage: Eukaryota; Viridiplantae; Streptophyta; Magnoliopsida; Solanales; Solanaceae. The record is from RNAcentral.